CAGCGGUCUCAUUCGGUAUAGCGAGCUGGUGAAGAGCAGGCGGACAGGCCUCGGGACGGGACGUCUACGCAGAAGCAACUCCCUGGCUCACCCCGAAGUGAUCACCCCUUCCGGGAACGAAAUCCUGCCACACCCAGAGCCUGCUUGGAGCAGAGACUUGAAGCACACACUGCUCCCAAUGGGACGGCUGUAAAGCCUGUAACCGUUUAAAAUGUACAGUUCCGUGUCCUGGGUAUAUGACAUCAUUCAUUUUCAAA
This is a long non-coding RNA of Marmota flaviventris (yellow-bellied marmot), 257 nucleotides long. RefSeq lists it as uncharacterized. Lineage: Eukaryota; Metazoa; Chordata; Mammalia; Rodentia; Sciuridae. The record is from RefSeq and is a predicted model, not a curated record.